Molecule: ribosomal RNA, 510 nt
Filed under: Dolichopus ungulatus
Lineage: Eukaryota; Metazoa; Arthropoda; Insecta; Diptera; Dolichopodidae
Description: partial 16S ribosomal RNA
Rfam family: Bacterial large subunit ribosomal RNA
Source: RNAcentral
GUCUUUUUGAGUUUAAUUUAAAGUCUAAUCUGCCCACUGAUAAGUAUUUAAGGGCCGCAGUAUUUUGACUGUGCAAAGGUAGCAUAAUCAUUAGUCUUUUAAUUGAGGGCUUGUAUGAAUGAUUGGACGAGAUAUAAGCUGUCUCAUAUAAAUUUAAGUAGAAUUUUAUUUUUUAGUUAAAAAGCUAAAAUAAUUUUAAAAGACGAGAAGACCCUAUAGAUCUUUAUAAUUUAUUUUUAAAUUUUUUUAGGUUAUUUUUUAAGUUUAUAAUUUAAAUUAUUUUGUUGGGGUGACAAUGAAAUUUAAUAAACUUUCAUUAUUUUGAGACAUUAAUUUAUGGUUUAUUGAUCCACUAUUAGUGAUUAAAAAUUUAAGUUACCUUAGGGAUAACAGCGUAAUUAUUUUGGAGAGUUCUUAUCGAUAAAAUAGUUUGCGACCUCGAUGUUGGAUUAAGAUUAAUUUUGGGUGUAGCAGCUCAGUUUAUUAAGUCUGUUCGACUUUUAAUUUCUU